CUAAACCCUACACAAUCAACAACAUCAACGUUUUCUAUUCCCACCAAAACAUUGAUGUUUUGGUUAUUGUUCAUCUUCAUCUUCUUCAUCUAUUCUCACCAAAACAUCGAUGUUUCAGUUAUUGUUCAUCUUCAUCUUCUUCAUCACUUUUCCAAAAGCAUUCGAUUGAAUUCCACUUCCACGAAUGAAAAGGCGCAUAAAGCAACAAUCUUUUCUAUAUUAGCUUCAAUAUUUGUCUCAAAGAACCGCCGAUCCGGUCAGUAACAAGCCUUAUUUCCGACGGUCAGGUUACGUUUCUAUAGUUUUAGCACGAUUGCAUUUGUGUGUGUGUGUUUGUUGUAAGUAUAUAAUUCUUUGCUGCAAUUGUUUUUUUAAGUGAGGAUUUGUGUUUGUUUAAGUGUCUGAUUGAAUUAAUGAUACUGUUUUGGUUCUGUUAUGUAUGCAGAUUUAUUAUGAACGGUGACGAGCCUAAAAAACGACAAAAAUGUCCACGACGUGGUGAGUAUGGACACCGUGAAAAGACAUGCAAAAAUUCAGCACCUGAAGCACCUGAAGACGCUACUCAACAUCAAGCGUCAAAAGUAAAAGAGGACCAGGAAAGAGUACAAAAAAUAUGUAAAAGUAGAAGAAUUGUGGUUUGAAGGGAAUUUAUGUUUUUAUUAUGAACGAAAUUGAUGUUUUUUGAACGAAAUUUAAGUUUUUAUUAUGAGUA
Molecule: long non-coding RNA, 712 nt
Organism: Helianthus annuus (common sunflower)
Lineage: Eukaryota; Viridiplantae; Streptophyta; Magnoliopsida; Asterales; Asteraceae
Exons: 2
Source: RefSeq, a predicted model, not a curated record